GACGAACGCUGGCGGCGUGCCUAAUACAUGCAAGUAGAACGCACAGUUUAUACCGUAGCUUGCUACACCAUAGACUGUGAGUUGCGAACGGGUGAGUAACGCGUAGGUAACCUGCCUGGUAGCGGGGGAUAACUAUUGGAAACGAUAGCUACUACCGCAUAAUAUUAAUUAUUGCAUGAUAAUUAAUUGAAAGGUGCAAUUGCACCACUACCAGAUGGACCUGCGUUGUAUUAGCUAGUAGGUGAGGUAACGGCUCACCUAGGCGACGAUACAUAGCCGACCUGAGAGGGUGAUCGGCCACACUGGGACUGAGACACGGCCCAGACUCCUACGGGAGGCAGCAGUAGGGGAUCUUCGGCAAUGGACGAAAGUCUGACCGAGCAACGCCGCGUGAGUGAAGAAGGUUUUCGGAUCGUAAAGCUCUGUUGUAAGAGAAGAACGGGUGUGAGAGUGGAAAGUUCACACUGUGACGGUAUCUUACCAGAAAGGGACGGCUAACUACGUG
This 505-nucleotide ribosomal RNA is filed under the name uncultured bacterium. RNAcentral describes it as "partial 16S ribosomal RNA". It matches the Rfam family "Bacterial small subunit ribosomal RNA", at positions 28 to 507 of the family's 1533-position model. The record is from RNAcentral.